UUAUUUGAAACAGGAUACAACCUCACACACCGGGUAAGCAAAAGAACAGCAAAACCAAGUGGGCCUAAAAGCAGCCACCUUUAAGAAAGCGUUACAGCUCCACCACCCCCCAACCAAAAAUCAUUCCAACACUUUCUAACCCUUAACCUCUACUGAACCAUUUUAUAUUACUAUAAAAACUAUUAUGCUAGGACUAGUAACAAGAAUUUGCUUUUCUCCUUAAUAUAAACAUAAGCCAAAACGGACCAUCCAUUGGCAAUUAACGUUAAUGAACUAACUAUAAUAACAACCUUACUAGAAAACCCUAUAUUUUGUAACGUUAACCUUACACCAGAAUAUUUAAGGAAAGAUUAAAAGAAAAAGAAGGAACUCGGCAAACUUCAACCCCGCCUGUUUACCAAAAACAUCGCCUCUUGAUAAACAUAAGAGGUCCAGCCUGCCCAGUGACAAUGUUCAACGGCCGCGGUACCCUAACCGUGCAAAGGUAGCAUAAUCACUUGUUCUUUAAAUGAGGACUUGUAUCAAUGGCAUCACGAGGGUUGUACUGUCUCCUUUUUCCAAUCAGUGAAACUGAUCUCCCCGUGAAGAAGCUGGGAUUUUAAU
This 603-nucleotide ribosomal RNA is filed under the name Hylarana eschatia. RNAcentral describes it as "partial 16S ribosomal RNA". The stretch from base 348 to 595 matches the Rfam family "Archaeal large subunit ribosomal RNA", at positions 1787 to 2143 of the family's 2987-position model. Lineage: Eukaryota; Metazoa; Chordata; Amphibia; Anura; Ranidae. The record is from RNAcentral.